Molecule: ribosomal RNA, 484 nt
Filed under: uncultured bacterium
Lineage: Bacteria
Description: partial 16S ribosomal RNA
Rfam family: Bacterial small subunit ribosomal RNA
Source: RNAcentral
AUUGAACGCUGGCGGCAGGCCUAACACAUGCAAGUCGAGCGGAUGAAGGGAGCUUGCUCCUGGAUUCAGCGGCGGACGGGUGAGUAAUGCCUAGGAAUCUGCCUGGUAGUGGGGGAUAACGUCCGGAAACGGGCGCUAAUACCGCAUACGUCCUGAGGGAGAAAGUGGGGGAUCUUCGGACCUCACGCUAUCAGAUGAGCCUAGGUCGGAUUAGCUAGUUGGUGGGGUAAAGGCCUACCAAGGCGACGAUCCGUAACUGGUCUGAGAGGAUGAUCAGUCACACUGGAACUGAGACACGGUCCAGAGUCCUACGGGAGGCAGCAGUGGGGAAUAUUGGACAAUGGGCGAAAGCCUGAUCCAGCCAUGCCGCGUGUGUGAAGAAGGUCUUCGGAUUGUAAAGCACUUUAAGUUGGGAGGAAGGGCAGUAAGUUAAUACCUUGCUGUUUUGACGGUACCAACAGAAUAAGCACCGGCUAACUUCGUG